AAUAAUAAAUGGAGCAACACUUGUGCGUGAAGUGGGUCAGGGGAGGAAUUCAGCAGCCCUAAGCGAUUGUCGAGUGUGUGCUUCUUUUUUUGUUGUAGCA
This 100-nucleotide signal recognition particle RNA is filed under the name Streptococcus canis. RNAcentral describes it as "signal recognition particle sRNA small type". It matches the Rfam family "Bacterial small signal recognition particle RNA". From Rfam's summary of the family: The signal recognition particle (SRP) is a universally conserved ribonucleoprotein involved in the co-translational targeting of proteins to membranes. Archaeal SRP consists of a 7S RNA and homologues of the eukaryotic SRP19 and SRP54 proteins. In most bacteria, the SRP consists of a 4.5S RNA and the Ffh protein (a homologue of the eukaryotic SRP54 protein). Lineage: Bacteria; Bacillati; Bacillota; Bacilli; Lactobacillales; Streptococcaceae. The record is from RNAcentral.